GGAAGAAAGAGAAUGACGGUACCCGUAGAGGAAGCUCCGGCUAACUACCGUGCCAGCAGCCGCGGUAAAACGGGGGGAGCAAGCGUUGUCCGGAAUUACUGGGCGUAAAGGGUGUGUAGGUGGAUWUAUAAGUCAAAAGUGAAAACCGGUGGUUUAACCGACGGCCUGCAUUUGAAACUGCAGAGCUUGAGUACAGGGAGAGGGAAAGUGGAAUUCCUGGUGUAGCGGUGAAAUGCGUAGAUAUUGGGAGGAACACCGGUGGCGAAGGCGGCUUUCUGGCCUGUAACUGAC
Molecule: ribosomal RNA, 291 nt
Filed under: uncultured delta proteobacterium
Lineage: Bacteria; Deltaproteobacteria
Description: partial 16S ribosomal RNA
Rfam family: Bacterial small subunit ribosomal RNA
Source: RNAcentral